RNAcentral lists this ribosomal RNA (799 nucleotides) under uncultured bacterium. RNAcentral describes it as "bacterial SSU rRNA". It matches the Rfam family "Bacterial small subunit ribosomal RNA", at positions 66 to 861 of the family's 1533-position model. The record is from RNAcentral.
ACGACGUCGAAAGCUUGCUUUCGAUGGGCGUCGACCGGCGCACGGGUGAGUAACGCGUAUCCAACCUGCCCACCACUUGGGGAUAACCUUGCGAAAGUAAGACUAAUACCCAAUGAUAUCUCUAGAAGACAUCUGAAAGAGAUUAAAGAUUUAUCGGUGAUGGAUGGGGAUGCGUCUGAUUAGCUUGUUGGCGGGGUAACGGCCCACCAAGGCUACGAUCAGUAGGGGUUCUGAGAGGAAGGUCCCCCACAUUGGAACUGAGACACGGUCCAAACUCCUACGGGAGGCAGCAGUGAGGAAUAUUGGUCAAUGGACGAGAGUCUGAACCAGCCAAGUAGCGUGCAGGAUGACGGCCCUAUGGGUUGUAAACUGCUUUUAUAAGGGAAUAAAGUGAGUCUCGUGAGGCUUUUUGCAUGUACCUUAUGAAUAAGGACCGGCUAAUUCCGUGCCAGCAGCCGCGGUAAUACGGAAGGUCCGGGCGUUAUCCGGAUUUAUUGGGUUUAAAGGGAGCGUAGGCCGGAGAUUAAGCGUGUUGUGAAAUGUAGAUGCUCAACAUCUGCACUGCAGCGCGAACUGGUUUCCUUGAGUACGCACAAAGUGGGCGGAAUUCGUGGUGUAGCGGUGAAAUGCUUAGAUAUCACGAAGAACUCCGAUUGCGAAGGCAGCUCACUGGAGCGCAACUGACGCUGAAGCUCGAAAGUGCGGGUAUCGAACAGGAUUAGAUACCCUGGUAGUCCGCACGGUAAACGAUGGAUGCCCGCUGUUGGUCUGAAUAGGUCAGCGGCCAAGCGAAAGCAUU